Arvicola amphibius (Eurasian water vole) is the source of this 1173-nucleotide long non-coding RNA. RefSeq lists it as uncharacterized. The transcript is spliced from 3 exons. The record is from RefSeq and is a predicted model, not a curated record. NCBI's taxonomy places the organism in Eukaryota, Metazoa, Chordata, Mammalia, Rodentia, Cricetidae.
GCAGUUUUGCAGAUGAAGAAAACAGUGCACACUGGAACCAAGCAGCCAGCCAGAUUUGCACAGCUGGUGUACAGUGGAACCAGCUCCAGUUGCCAUGGAAACCUUCUCUCAAGGCAGAGAGCCCUGGACUAUGAACAUAGCUUUCCAGACGGAAUCUGUUUGAGAAGAAAGGCUUCAGUGACAACCAUCCCCUCUUCCCUGUUGUAAGCUACUGAAGACAGGGAUUGCCAGAAAUCUGAUACUGGGUCUGGUGAGCUGGCCUGGGAGGAAAGGUGCUUGUGUUUGAUGAUGAUGCAAGCCUGAACAGCUGAGUUGGAUCCUUGGAAACUAUAAAAAGAAAGCAUAAUGAUUAAGCUGCCUAUCAACAAAUGCAACAGGAGAAAGAAAUGAGCAGUGACAGAAGUGAUGAAUGGUCAAGCAGAGACUGUAUUACCCAGAGGUCUGCUCCACGCUCUCAGCUGCUUUAUGGAUUGGACUCUGUCACACAGGGAAGUAACUGCUGGCUCUACUGUCUGAACUACUACUUCAGAUCCUUGACACUUAGGGCAGAGUGUGCUGUGCAUCAAGAUUGGAACCACCAAAAUCCAGAAGCCUGCAGACAGAAUUGGCUAGCUCAAAUGCUUUGUAUUUGGAAAGUAUCAAUCUAUAAAAAAAUUUGGAAGUCACCUGAGCAGGUGAAGCUGAAGUAGAGCUGCCAAGCUGGGAAGGCUGUCCUUAAGAUGAUUCUAAGCUUCACAUUAGGCAGUUGAUGUGGAAUUCUAGUCCUCUGGAAAUAAAGAUUCUGUCUUAGGAGGAACAAUUUCAAAGUCAAAAAGCACUUAGCAUCUUAUCCUGAAAUAUCCCUCCUGUGAUGGGUCAUGCCUUGGUUUCUUAGGAGAAGGGGAACUCCUCAGGGAUUAUAUUUAUAAUCUUCCAAUGUCCCUGUGUUGGAGUCUAAACACCAGACUUCACCUGACUCCUUUACAUUAUAUACCAACUAGGAACUUGACUCACCAAAUGCAAUAGAUAACAUUCAUGAAGCACUUGACAAAGCUAGUAAUUGUUCCAGGACAUUUAAAUAUAAAUGCUGCUGGAUUAAUAAAACAAAUAUUUUGUAAAUGGUGAAGUCAAAAGAUAAGUUACUUUGGAGAAGAGGUUUUGCUCUUGUUUCCACAGAAACUGCGAGGCUAUGGA